Molecule: ribosomal RNA, 260 nt
Filed under: uncultured bacterium
Lineage: Bacteria
Description: partial 16S ribosomal RNA
Rfam family: Bacterial small subunit ribosomal RNA
Source: RNAcentral
GUCCACGCCCUAAACUAUGGAUACUCGACAUCAGCGAUACACAGUUGGUGUCUGAGCGAAAGCAUUAAGUAUCCCACCUGGGAAGUACGUCCGCAAGCAUGAAACUCAAAGGAAUUGGCGGGGUCGCACAAGCGGUGGAGCAUGUGGUUUAAUUCGAUGAUACGCGAGGAACCUUACCUGGGCUAGAAUGCAGAUCGACCGUGGGUGAAAGCUCAUUUUGUUAGCAAUACACGGUUUGUAAGGUGCUGCAUGGCUGUCGU